RNAcentral lists this ribosomal RNA (546 nucleotides) under Hanseniaspora opuntiae. Its description in RNAcentral is "partial 26S ribosomal RNA". It matches the Rfam family "Eukaryotic large subunit ribosomal RNA", at positions 52 to 600 of the family's 3401-position model. Lineage: Eukaryota; Fungi; Ascomycota; Saccharomycetes; Saccharomycodales; Saccharomycodaceae. The record is from RNAcentral.
GGAGGAAAAGAAACCAACUGGGAUUACCUUAGUAACGGCGAGUGAAGCGGUAAAAGCUCAAAUUUGAAAUCUGGUACUUUCAGUGCCCGAGUUGUAAUUUGUAGAAUUUGUCUUUGAUUAGGUCCUUGUCUAUGUUCCUUGGAACAGGACGUCAUAGAGGGUGAGAAUCCCGUUUGGCGAGGAUACCUUUUCUCUGUAAGACUUUUUCGAAGAGUCGAGUUGUUUGGGAAUGCAGCUCAAAGUGGGUGGUAAAUUCCAUCUAAAGCUAAAUAUUGGCGAGAGACCGAUAGCGAACAAGUACAGUGAUGGAAAGAUGAAAAGAACUUUGAAAAGAGAGUGAAAAAGUACGUGAAAUUGUUGAAAGGGAAGGGCAUUUGAUCAGACAUGGUGUUUUUUGCAUGCACUCGCCUCUUGUGGGCUUGGGCCUCUCAAAAAUUUCACUGGGCCAACAUCAAUUCUGGCAGUAGGAUAAAUCAUUAAGAAUGUAGCUACCUCGGUAGUGUUAUAGCUUAUUGGAAUACUGCUAGCUGGGAUUGAGGACUGCGC